Molecule: long non-coding RNA, 260 nt
Organism: Ixodes scapularis (black-legged tick)
Lineage: Eukaryota; Metazoa; Arthropoda; Arachnida; Ixodida; Ixodidae
Exons: 3
Source: RefSeq, a predicted model, not a curated record
UAUCAGUUCCCCCCGUCCUCUGCCCCCGAUUCUCGUUACGGGACGAAAGAAAAAGUGCAUACCGAGGGUCAACAAGAACAAAGAAACCUCGAACGCGACCAGCGGAAGAACCAAGAUGAGAAAACUGCCUGGAGAUGUGCUAAAUACUGGACAAAUAACUGCAAAGCAGCAGUUCUCACGAAGCACGGAAAAGUCGUCAAGACAACACAAGAGCACAACCAUCCACCUGAUAGCAGCCAACUUCGGGAAGCGCGACUGAA